UAGGGAAUCUUCGGCAAUGGGGGGAACCCUGACCGAGCAACGCCGCGUGAGUGAAGAAGGCUUUCGGAUCGUAAAGCUCUGUUGUUAAGGAAGAACGAGUGUGAGAAUGGAAAGUUCAUGCUGUGACGGUACUUAACCAGAAAGGGACGGCUAACUACGUGCCAGCAGCCGCGGUAAUACGUAGGUCCCGAGCGUUGUCCGGAUUUAUUGGGCGUAAAGCGAGCGCAGGCGGUUAGAAAAGUCUGAAGUGAAAGGCAGUGGCUCAACCAUUGUAGGCUUUGGAAACUGUUUAACUUGAGUGCAGAAGGGGGGAGUGGAAUUCCAUGUGUAGCGGUGAAAUGCGUAGAUAUAUGGAGGAACACCGGUGGCGAAAGCGGCUCUCUGGUCUGUAACUGACGCUGAGGCUCGAAAGCGUGGGGAGCGAACAGG
RNAcentral lists this ribosomal RNA (429 nucleotides) under Bacteroidota bacterium. Its description in RNAcentral is "Bacteroidetes bacterium partial 16S ribosomal RNA". It matches the Rfam family "Bacterial small subunit ribosomal RNA", at positions 355 to 776 of the family's 1533-position model. The record is from RNAcentral. Lineage: Bacteria; Pseudomonadati; Bacteroidota.